AUUGAACGCUGGCGGCAUGCCUUACACAUGCAAGUCGAACGGCAGCGCGGACUUCGGUCUGGCGGCGAGUGGCGAACGGGUGAGUAAUACAUCGGAACGUACCCUGUUGUGGGGGAUAACUAGUCGAAAGAUUAGCUACUCACGCAUACGACCUGAGGGUGAAAGUGGGGGACCGCAAGGCCUCACGCAGCAGGAGCGGCCGAUGUCGGAGUAGCUAGUUGGUGGGGUAAAGGCCCACCAAGGCGACGAGCAGUAGCUGGUCUGAGAGGACGACCAGCCACACUGGGACUGAGACACGGCCCAGACUCCUACGGGAGGCAGCAGUGGGGAAUUUUGGACAAUGGGGGCAACCCUGAUCCAGCAAUGCCGCGUGUGUGAAGAAGGCCUUCGGGUUGUAAAGCACUUUUGUCCGGAAAGAAAUCGCGCUGGUUAAUACCUGGCGUGGAUGACGGUACCGGAAGAAUAAGCACCGGCUAACUACGUGCCAGCAGCCGCGGUAA
Molecule: ribosomal RNA, 500 nt
Filed under: uncultured bacterium
Lineage: Bacteria
Description: partial 16S ribosomal RNA
Rfam family: Bacterial small subunit ribosomal RNA
Source: RNAcentral